This 67-nucleotide transfer RNA is filed under the name Psilorhynchus balitora (Balitora minnow). RNAcentral describes it as "tRNA-Cys". It matches the Rfam family "tRNA". From Rfam's summary of the family: Transfer RNA (tRNA) molecules are approximately 80 nucleotides in length. Lineage: Eukaryota; Metazoa; Chordata; Actinopteri; Cypriniformes; Psilorhynchidae. The record is from RNAcentral.
AGCCUCGUGGUGAAGAGCACAUUGGAUUGCAAAUCCGAAGACGCAGACUAAAUAUCUGCCGGGGCUU